RNAcentral lists this ribosomal RNA (425 nucleotides) under uncultured bacterium. Its description in RNAcentral is "bacterial SSU rRNA". It matches the Rfam family "Bacterial small subunit ribosomal RNA", at positions 202 to 622 of the family's 1533-position model. The record is from RNAcentral.
AAGACCUUUGCGCUUUUGGAGCGGCCGAUGUCUGAUUAGCUUCGUUGGUGAGGUAAAGGCUUACCAAGGCUUCGAUCAGUAGCUGGUCUGAGAGGACGGCCAGCCACACUGGGACUGAGACACGGCCCAGACUCCUACGGGAGGCAGCAGUGGGGAAUUUUGGACAAUGGGGGCAACCCUGAUCCAGCCAUGCCGCGUGAGUGAAGAAGGCCUUCGGGUUGUAAAGCUCUUUCAGCCGGAACGAAACGGUUACGGUUAAUACCCGUGACUACUGACGGUACCGGAAGAAGAAGCACCGGCUAACUACGUGCCAGCAGCCGCGGUAAUACGUAGGGUGCAAGCGUUAAUCGGAAUUACUGGGCGUAAAGCGUGCGCAGGUGGUUUUGUAAGUCAGAUGUGAAAUCCCCGGGCUUAACCUGGGAACU